RNAcentral lists this ribosomal RNA (440 nucleotides) under uncultured bacterium. RNAcentral's name for it is "partial 16S ribosomal RNA". It matches the Rfam family "Bacterial small subunit ribosomal RNA", at positions 338 to 795 of the family's 1533-position model. The record is from RNAcentral.
CCUACGGGGGGCAGCAGUGGGGGAUAUUGCACAAUGGGGGGAACCCUGAUGCAGCGACGCCGCGUGGGUGAAGAAGCGCCUCGGCGCGUAAAGCCCUGUCAGCAGGGAAGAAAAUGACGGUACCUGACGAAUAAGCACCGGCUAACUACGUGCCAGCAGCCGCGGUAAUACGUAGGGUGCAAGCGUUAUCCGGAUUUACUGGGUGUAAAGGGGGCGCAGACGGCGAUGCAAGUCAGGGGUGAAAGCCCGGGGCCGAACCCCGGGACUGCUCUUGGAACUGCGUGGCUGGAGUGCAGGAGGGGCAGGCGGAAUUCCUGGUGUAGCGGUGAAAUGCGUAGAUAUCAGGAGGAACACCGGUGGCGAAGGCGGCCUGCUAGACUGCAACUGACGUUGAGGCCCGAAAGCGUGGGGAGCAAACAGGAUUAGAUACCCGGGUAGUC